Molecule: ribosomal RNA, 497 nt
Filed under: uncultured bacterium
Lineage: Bacteria
Description: partial 16S ribosomal RNA
Rfam family: Bacterial small subunit ribosomal RNA
Source: RNAcentral
GAUGAACGCUGGCGGCGUGCCUAAUACAUGCAAGUCGAGCGAACAGACGAGGAUCUUGCUCCCCUCACGUUAGCCGCGGACGUGUGAGUAACAUGUGUAUAACCUACCUAUAAUUCUGGUAUCUUCUCGGGAAACCGGAUCUAAUACCGGAUAAUAUAUUGCACCACAUGGUGCAAUAGAGAAAUACGGUUGUUCUGUAACUUAUAGCUGGUUCCGCGCCGGAUUAGCUAGUUGGUAAGGUAACGGCUUAUCAAGGCAACGAUGCGUAGCCGACCUGCGUGGGUGAUCGGCCACACUAGAACUGAGACACGGUCCAGGCUCCUACGGGAGGCAGCAGUAGGGAAUCUUACGCAAUGGGCGAGAGCAUGACGGAGCAACGCCGCGUGAGUGAUGACGGUCUUCGGAUCGUAAAACUCUGUUAUUAGGGAAGAACAAAUGUGUAAGUAGAUAUGCCCGUAUUGACGGUACCUAGUCAGAAAGCCACGGCUAACUACGUG